CAGUUUUGAAUGUGGGGAUAUUGUGUAAAGUGUGGGAGGUUGGAGACUUUUGGGAAUGUGAAGGUUAAUAAGCAUUAAAAAUACUUAGAUAUGUGAGGUAUCUUGAAACAUAGAAUCGCCCUUGGAUACAUACUGAUACGAAGCACCAAUUAAUUUACCCGAGCUGUGCCAGAAUGUGGAGUGAGGCGAUGCUUCAACUGAAGAGAACGCCCCGGGUGCAGACUGAUAUUACCUGCUCCUUUAAGUGAAGAAUGUAGCCCUAGAUGAUGGCGACAGAUAAUUGAGAGUCAUAUUAAGAUGUUGGCUGCCCUGUCACUGUGACCUACAUAUCCAGUGUGCACCAUCAAGGUUUGGGCAAGCAUACUGACAUCCACAGUGGUUAUUGCAUCUCUUACUCUGGUUUUUAAUUGAUCAGUGUCUCACCUGCGUCUUAUAAACAAUGUCUUUGACAUAUCCCGAAAGGAAAGAGUCCAGUGGGGUUAUGUCAUGUGAUCUUGGGGGCCAAGAAAUUGAACCAUCUCGUCCAAUCCAUCUUCCUGGAAAAUGUUUGUCCACAGCAUAACGAACUAUGGUGCUCAAACGAGGUGGCACACCGUCUUUUUGGAAAGUGAUUUCGGGCGGAAGCGCUUCAAUUUGCGGGAAUACAAAAUUCUGCAACAUAUCUAAGUAAAUGACUGAUCUGACUGUCUUUUCCGCGAAAAAGAAAGGCCCAAUGAUUUGAUCAUACAUAAGAGCACACCCCACAUUCACUUUUGUGGAGUGUUUCAUGUGAAAGAAAGGCUAUGACUUUCCAGGCACUGCUGACAAACUUUCUCCAGAUAAA
Long non-coding RNA from Cryptotermes secundus, 823 nucleotides. RefSeq lists it as uncharacterized. The record is from RefSeq and is a predicted model, not a curated record. The transcript has 3 exons. Lineage: Eukaryota; Metazoa; Arthropoda; Insecta; Blattodea; Kalotermitidae.